This is a long non-coding RNA of Mesocricetus auratus (golden hamster), 1536 nucleotides long. RefSeq lists it as uncharacterized. The transcript is spliced from 2 exons. The record is from RefSeq and is a predicted model, not a curated record. NCBI's taxonomy places the organism in Eukaryota, Metazoa, Chordata, Mammalia, Rodentia, Cricetidae.
CACCACCUCGUGGACAGAGAGCGGACACAGUUCUUGGGGUGGCCUACAGCAUGUACUCUUUUCAAGACCCCCCCCCCAGUGGCUAGACUUGUGGGCCACUGGUGGCUGUGAGGGUGGGAGUGGGGGCGUCUUCCACUCGUGGAGGGGGCUGACUCUGCGACUAGAACUCCGGUGGCAAGGGAGGGGAGACGGAAUCCAGAGGCCUUUUAAUCUACACCCUAAACGCUGAGGUAACUCCAGAAUUUUCCCUUCCAGCCCUCUUUUACUUCAGCUAUGAUCUGCAAAACUCAGCUCUCCCAACAGUGAGGUCUCUGCUGGCUGGUGCUGCCGGGAGCCCAGUGGGCAGGACAGGCUCAGACACAGCUGAAGGGUUUAGGCCCUGUGUCAGUCCUGCUGGUCCUAUGUUCUCUGCGCUCAACUUAGGCUGUGACUGGGAGAGGAUGGCUCCCUGAAGCAUUCCCAGGAGACCCCCUGCUACGUCUGCAGAGUGCUGUCUGACUCCAUACGCUCUUCCUGAGCCCCCAGAAGGAUCACACCCGGCCAACCCUCAUCUGAAGGUCAGAACACAGCCUGCUCUACAACACCUCCCUUGGCCCCCGAGGCACUGCCCUGCACCAUCACAUAAGGAUGUGGGAAAGGCAGCCCAUGCCUGCCAGGAAGUGAGGGCUGCCAGCCUGCAGAGCAGCCUACAAGGUAGGCCCCAGCGGAAGAGAGCAGCAGCACUGGGCCCUGCUGCCGAUGGGCCUGGGUAUCGGCGAGAGCGUGCUCCGGCGAGUUCCGCCUGAAGGGGAGAGCUGGGAGAGCCUUUCUUGGUCAGGAGGCUGGGGGUGUGCCCUCACCCUCUUCCACCUGCUAGGAUGGUAGAAGCUCCGCUUACCCUCAUGCCCUCAAAUCGUGACAAGGCCCUCAGAGGUCGCAGUGCGCGCAGUGUCCUCAGGGACUUGAUGGGGCCCAUCUCGGCAAAGCCUAAGGUGUUGGCCACGAGGCUGACCAGCGAGACCUAUGGAGAAGGGAGUGGUGGGAAGGGGGCACAGCCCCAGAGGCAGGUGGCAGGCUCGCAGCUCACGUCAGGCUGGCCCGCCAGUCUUUCUCUGCCAGCCAGCGAACCAUGAGGCCGUGCUUCCCAGAACCUUGAAGGCCUGUGGCAAGCCAAGACUGUCCUGUCUGUAGGCUCUUCAGAGAGCUCGCUGUAUGUAUGUCUCAACCACUGACCCCAUGACCAGGGACAUGUCUUCCCUACACUGCCGUUUGUGCGGCUGAGCAGAGUUGCAGCUUACAUCUUCCCCUCUGCCCUAGAGUUUGGUGCCUGUACUCCUAAUACCUGGCCCUCCCUGGUUUCUUUUCUCCAUGCUAAUUCGCCCUCAAUACCAAAUUUCCCUUUUUUUGUUUUUGUUUUUGUUUUUUUUUUUAGCCCUGGCUGCCCUGGAACGCACAGCGAUCCUACUGCCUUGGUCUCCCGAGUGCUGGGAUUAUAGGCCGUACUCUCACACCCAGCUAAUGUGCUUGGUAUUUAAAAACACCUUCUGUAUCUACUUA